CCCCAAGAAAAUUUUUAAAAAUUAGAUGCAAUUCCCUGCAUUCUGACAGUAUCUGCAGUCUUAUUCAGACAUGUUUGGAACAAAGAUUUUGAUCAAAUUGUUUUAUUGGUAAUAAGAUAUGUCCACCAACCCCAAAAAUCUGAGAAAAAAAUUCUGAAAAAGUCCAACUUUCAUAAAAAAUUUGGGCAGCAUGGCUCCUAGAAAAUCAACAUUUCCUAUUUUUUUUUAAAGCAAAUUAAGGCCUUGAAAGAUUGGGCAAUUGAGGAAGAGCUUGCACUAAGGAGGAGGGCAGUUCCCCUUAUCCUAAAGGAACAUCUUCUUAGCACAGUGAAUAGACUUUACAAAAAAUAAAUUUACUUACCAGAGGCAAUUUUAGAAUCUGGAAACAUCAAUUUGAAGUUUUUGGUAAACAUAUCUGCACUUGCUAGGGAAACCCCCAAAGAAGGGAAAGUUUCCCUGUAACAAUCUCUGAAUUUUUGGCAUGAUUUCUUUGCCGAUGUUGGUCCGGUUGUAGUAUUAUUAUUAUUGUCAUCAGUGGUCGUCCUUUUGGACAUGAUUUCAAUUUACCUUGUCUUAUAUGCGCUUUAAAGCAUUGAUAUUCUAAUUAAUUCAAUCGUUUAACUGAUCAAGAUAAAAAUUUAACGGAUUUUGAAACGAAACGAUUCAAAAUUUAACGGAUUUUGAACGAAAACGAUUUUUUUUU
RNAcentral lists this long non-coding RNA (703 nucleotides) under Mytilus galloprovincialis (Mediterranean mussel). The record is from RNAcentral. Lineage: Eukaryota; Metazoa; Mollusca; Bivalvia; Mytilida; Mytilidae.